This is a long non-coding RNA of Myxocyprinus asiaticus (Chinese sucker), 1191 nucleotides long. RefSeq lists it as uncharacterized. NCBI's taxonomy places the organism in Eukaryota, Metazoa, Chordata, Actinopteri, Cypriniformes, Catostomidae. The record is from RefSeq and is a predicted model, not a curated record. The transcript has 3 exons.
UUCAGUUGUGCCAGUUUAAGAGAGUUUCUCUAUCUCACUUACACACACAGAGACACUGAUUUCUUCUCCUACACUGCUCAAGAAACUAUACUGGAUAUAAAAAAGCUAUGUGAAAUUUAUCGUAUGUAUUUGAGUUUAAGAGGAAGCUUUAAUGGGAAGUUGUGACAACCAGUUGUGACAUUUUUGUCACAGGAUACUAGAACUCCUGGCUCUACAUAAACUGAAAGAAGAAGCAGAAAAGCAAGGCAUCAACCACCAGCCAGUUUUUCAAAAACUUCCAAACUUGGUUAUUUAGUAACUUUGGAUCACUGGUUGACCUGAGGAAUUUCAGACCAUUCUUCCCUUAGAUCAAGUCUGGGCGAGUCUAGAUGUGUGAUCCAGGCAGUGAGAACAAACUAAGACAAGUAGAGGCUGAAGAUGCUUUACUUGAAGAGCGCUCUGAUCAGACAGCUGACUUGCACACUGUCACCUGCUGUCAUGGUCUACACAUAAGUCCCUACUGCAAGGACACUGACCACCGGAAAUUAGCCAUAUGCAGCAUUGUAUGUGGGCUCUCCUGCAUUGGCAUAGUGUCCCUUAUCUACUCUGUCAAGGCUCGAGAGACAAGAAAAACACUUCAAAAUGAAAAUCGAUUGGGAGCACAAGGGAACGUGAAGGUUAAGGAGUACUCAAGAAAAGCUUUGAAAUGGGGAAUAGGGUCCAUUGUGGCCUGGGUGGGUCUAAUUGUAAUCUUUCCAUUACUGCUGGGAUUACUGUCCUAUCUCUUAACCCUCAUAGACUAAGACAGCAGCAUUAUUACUACAGAUGUCUUUAAAAAUGCUAAGCAACCAAUGCAAAUUAACUGUGAGAGAGCAGAAUCAAACUGCCAUGGAUUGUUCACACACUGAACAAUGCACUGAAACCAUCUACAGACUAAACCUGAUAAAAUGGAUUAUUCAUUGUUUAUUUCCAUUUACUUUGGGUUUUAAAUGGUGCUUGCAGUUGUCUUAUUUGGAAAGUGCAAAAAAUUCUAUUGAACUAAGCACUUAAAAUCUCUCUUCUCUAUGACCAUAUUGAUAAGUAUACAACAACAGCACUGCAGUAAGCAAGCAUAUACAGGGUUUCUCAGGAAAAAAAAAAAGAAAAAAAAAAAAGCUACAGUAGUUUUCUCAAAUUUGUUACAUGCAACAGAUAGAAUCAAGCACACAAAGU